GGUGACGAAGCUUAUGGAAAAAAAGACCAAAGGCCUCGAGGGAUGUUCUUCUUGACCCCCCGGGGCAAACGGAGGUGUUCCCCUGGUCAGCGUCAGGAGCCAUCCUAACUGAGGCCUCGGCUCCCUCUUUUCCUUCGGUC
Long non-coding RNA from Pipra filicauda (Wire-tailed manakin), 140 nucleotides. RefSeq lists it as uncharacterized. The transcript is spliced from 3 exons. NCBI's taxonomy places the organism in Eukaryota, Metazoa, Chordata, Aves, Passeriformes, Pipridae. The record is from RefSeq and is a predicted model, not a curated record.